Cyprinus carpio carpio is the source of this 407-nucleotide long non-coding RNA. The record is from Ensembl. NCBI's taxonomy places the organism in Eukaryota, Metazoa, Chordata, Actinopteri, Cypriniformes, Cyprinidae.
GUCAACUUUCUGGGCCACGUGGUCAGUGCGGCUGGAGUGUCCGUAGAUCCUGGAAAGGUAUCGGCCGUGGAGGACUGGAAGGCCCCGAGGACAGUGAGGUCGUAACCGGGGCCGGGGGUCGCCCAACGUAGACUGGGAUGCAAAUUAUGCCAGCAAUCUCGGGCUGGGAGCGGUGUUGGCUCAACGGCAGGACGGAGUCGAGAGGGUCAUCGCGUAUGCCAGCCGGAGCCUCCACCCAGCCGAGAGGAACGAUGCGAACUAUAGUUCUUUCAAAUUGGAGCUGCUGGCGUUGAAGUGGGCCCUAAACGGCGAAGCUGGGAGCCGUGGAGCAGCGGUGGGUGGCCCAACUGGCCAACUUUGACUAUCAACUACAGUACCGACCAGGGCGUGAACACACGAACGCGGAC